RNAcentral lists this long non-coding RNA (1208 nucleotides) under Homo sapiens (human). RNAcentral's name for it is "HSALNT0309404". The record is from RNAcentral. Lineage: Eukaryota; Metazoa; Chordata; Mammalia; Primates; Hominidae.
GAUUCCUGACAACACUGUUGGCUUCCCGGAGACUCCUUCAUCCUGCAGAAGAUGCAAUUCCACGGGGUCCUGAGAGAUUGGACAUGGGUGGGAUGUGGCAGUCCUCAUGGAAGACUCUUGAACAAGUGUCGCAACAGAACAGCUCCCCUCCGUCCCGGCACACCUCACACUCAUCCAAGUUUCUCAUCUAGAAGACAUCUGGCUGUGGGCUGUGAGACAUAAACCUCCAUGUCAAGCUCAUACAAAAUCAGCCACGCAAACACUGACCUCCAGGGCUGUUUUAACCAUUCGUGAGUCCCUGAGUUGGCCGGGCAUCAAAAUCAGUGUGGAAAAGACCUAAAUCUGAUUGGAGGACUGCUUUGGAGGUAAGGUUCUCAUUCACACCCAGUCUUCGAAAAACCAUCACCUUGUCCUGAAUCUACACUGCACUUAACCUAUUUGUUUGUUGCGUUCUUAAGUGAAGGAAAAAUCACUUUCACAGAUAAAAAGCAGGUCUGCACAGUCCCUCUGGUAGAACCAAAGAGGUGGCAUCAACAUAAAAGAUUUUCCUGGUCAGCUCCUCCUGUAAAAUACGUUUGCCUCUGGAGAUCUUCCUCCCCAAUGGCACCAUCUUGACAAAGGUAAAUAAUUUCCCAUUGAGAAAGAAUUCUGUGUAUCUGUGUGUACAUUUUUUUGGAAGGUGAAAGAGGAUGUGAAAGAUCAGAAAAGAAAUAUUAUUUUUAUUACCUAUUUCAUGAAAUGAUAUAUGGUUUCAUACAUGUCUCAAGUGACUGUGAGGAGACGUUUGCUCUAUCAAUUUCACAAAAGUUAGAAAAUAAUAACAUCAAUGAAAAAAAUCUGAUUUUGAGUUGGAGAUGAUACUCUCACCUUAUUAUGAAAUAUUUUUAUGUAUUCCAUGACCGUGUUGGAUUUUCCAACUUUGACACUCUUACAACAUCUGUAUCUAUUGCUGAAACACAUUCAGGAGGUUUGUUUUGAGGGCUCCUCAGCAUCUCCAUCUGAUACGGUUUAAUCCAAAGAGGACCUAGCUUUAUAUACACAAAGUAUUCAAAGUAGUAACUCUGAAAGUGUAUAUUAAAAAAAUUUAUAUGUGGGAAGUGGAGAAGGUGAAAGCUUAAUUAUAGUUACCCAAUUGGAGACUCCAUAAAAUAAGAUGUUGUACAUGUUAAAUCUGUUGUGUGACAAGAAUCUGUAGAAAAUUAUGUAAU